This is a non-coding RNA of Camellia sinensis, 492 nucleotides long. Lineage: Eukaryota; Viridiplantae; Streptophyta; Magnoliopsida; Ericales; Theaceae. The record is from RefSeq and is a predicted model, not a curated record.
CUUUGUUUGAUGCAUUUGUGAUUUGUGAGUUCCUUGUCCAAUAUUUUUUAUAUCAUGGAGAUAUAUUGUUUUGUCAAAUGUAGAUACUGGACAGGAGGAAGCAUGGGUUGAACUAUCUAGAUAAAGCUCCUCUAUUGGCCUUGUAUUUUGUGACAAAACAGAUUAUUGGUUGAAGUUCUCGAUAACGUAAGCUGUGGCAGCAACCAAGUCAUACCCAGGACUGUUGGCGGCAAUACCAGUUGUGGACUUGGGAGGGUGAUUUUGCAACUCAGGCUAGCUGAGAAAAUGAGCUAGACAGCGACCAUGAAUCCAGGCUUUUGAGGCCUCUUUAAUGCAAGAUCUGACUCCAGUGACCUAAACAACACUGCCAAAUCCACCAUGAUCAGAUAUACUCUGUCCUUUGUAGUUGCUGAAAUCUUAUCCAUGAUUCAGAUUUAUGCGAGAUUGAUUCGAAUGAGAUGAUGGACUUGAUCUCCAAUCAAAAGAUUUAGA